GACGAACGCUGGCGGCGUGCUUAACACAUGCAAGUCGAACGGUAAGGCCCUUCGGGGUACACGAGUGGCGAACGGGUGAGUAACACGUGGGUGAUCUGCCCUGCACUUCGGGAUAAGCCUGGGAGACUGGGUCUAAUACCGGAUAGGACCACUGCCUGCAUGGGUGGUGGUGGAAAGCUUUUGCGGUGUGGGAUGGGCCCGCGGCCUAUCAGCUUGUUGGUGGGGUGAUGGCCUACCAAGGCGACGACGGGUAGCCGGCCUGAGAGGGUGACCGGCCACACUGGGACUGAGAUACGGCCAAGACUCCUACGGGAGGCAGCAGUGGGGAAUAUUGCACAAUGGGCGCAAGCCUGAUGCAGCGACGCCGCGUGAGGGAUGACGGCCUUCGGGUUGUAAACCUCUUUCAGCACCGACGAAGCGCAAGUGACGGUAGGUGCAGAAGAAGGACCGGCCAACUACGUGCCAGCAGCCGCCGUAA
RNAcentral lists this ribosomal RNA (478 nucleotides) under uncultured bacterium. RNAcentral's name for it is "partial 16S ribosomal RNA". It matches the Rfam family "Bacterial small subunit ribosomal RNA", at positions 28 to 523 of the family's 1533-position model. The record is from RNAcentral.